AGCGAACGCUGGCGGCAGGCCUAACACAUGCAAGUCGAACGAACUCUUCGGAGUUAGUGGCGGACGGGUGAGUAACACGUGGGAACGUGCCUUUAGGUUCGGAAUAACUCAGGGAAACUUGUGCUAAUACCGAAUGUGCCCUUCGUGGGAAAGAUUUAUCGCCUUUAGAGCGGCCCGCGUCUGAUUAGCUAGUUGGUGAGGUAAAGGCUCACCAAGGCGACGAUCAGUAGCUGGUCUGAGAGGAUGAUCAGCCACAUUGGGACUGAGACACGGCCCGAACUCCUACGGGAGGCAGCAGUGGGGAAUCGUGCGGAAUGGGCGAAAGCCUGACGCAGCCAUGCCGCGUGAAUGAUGAAGGUCUUAGGAUUGUAAAAUUCUUUCACCGGGGACGAUAAUGACGGUACCCGGAGAAGAAGCCCCGGCUAACUUCGUGCCAGCCGCCGCCGUAA
RNAcentral lists this ribosomal RNA (449 nucleotides) under uncultured bacterium. Its description in RNAcentral is "partial 16S ribosomal RNA". It matches the Rfam family "Bacterial small subunit ribosomal RNA", at positions 29 to 523 of the family's 1533-position model. The record is from RNAcentral.